Molecule: unclassified non-coding RNA, 1430 nt
Filed under: Leishmania donovani
Lineage: Eukaryota; Euglenozoa; Kinetoplastea; Trypanosomatida; Trypanosomatidae
Description: gene:LdHU3.29.0290(CDS-product:hypothetical_prote in_conserved)
Source: RNAcentral
UUGCAUUCACGAGCGCGUGAUGCACGAGGAGCCGUGGCAGUGCCCGCAACAACGCGUACAUCUUUGUGGAGCGUACACACACACACACACGUGAUAGCAAACACCAUCGGAAGGGCGCCCACUCACAGGCUAACAGGAAAGGCGCGAUGAUGGCCAGACAACGACCGACGACUGUGGCGACGCUGCUACUGCUGCUUUGCUUGCUGGCAAGCGCAAGCUCAGUCGACGCGUGGGAUAGCAGCGAAGACGCCAAGGCCAUGGCGAAGCGUGCGAAGCAUGAACAAAUCCAGUUUUGGGAGCGUGAGGUCAACAUCCUCCGCCAGGGCGAGCUGACGAGGGCGUACAACAAACUCUACCAGGCGGAGGCAGCGUUGGAGUCUGCCCGUGCCAAGCAGGGCUUCUUCUACACACGACCACAGGACAAGGCGACGAUACGCUUGCUUGAUGAGGAUUACCGCAGAACGUUGGUGGAGGUGAAGGCCCUAAAGGAGCAAGAGCGCCUCAUCAUGGCGAAGCUGAAGCCGCUCUACGGCGUCGUCUCGCUGCACUUUGCGCAGGAGCAGAAGCGCACCAUCUCGGAGUCUAUCAAGACCGUGCAAUCGCUCAGCUACGACAACGCGUGGUACUCCUCCCUCUUCAGCCUCGGCGAAGCGGAGAGCUUCUCCGACAUCAUCAUGGGCUUUAUUGGAAACUGGGUCAUCGGCUUCGUCAUUCUCUACCCCUUCGCGGUUCUCUACUACGCGCUGUGGGCCGCGCCGUGGAGCGUGUACGAGUACACCGCUGGCGCUGCAGACCUCGUCCCUGGCGCCGUCGCUUACGCCGCAUGUGUCGUGGUGAUGUGUCUGCCUCUUAUCGUUCUUGCGCUCACCUUCUACUUGUUGAUUCGGCACUACGGGCCACAGCUACAGGCGGCUGCGCAGCAAGCACAGGCGCGCCGACAUCAGGACUGACGCGUAUCGGUAAAGAACAUGUACAGGGCUGUCGACCCGUGACGGAGGGAGGGCCCGUAAGAACGAAUGAGCUUGCAGAAGGGGGUCAACGAACACUUUGGUGCUCGUGUGCGGUGUAGCCGCUUCACGCUUCUGUUUUUCUUUUUUCCCGUGCUUCCUAUCUGGAACGUCCCUGUGAAGCUGCCGACUUGUCCCGGGGGUGGGGUGGGGAGAGAUGAGGAGGGUGUGAUGGACGGCGAAACGCCGCUUCUCCAAAGGCUGAGUGGAUGGGCGCAAGAGGUGGGCGUGCUUGAUACCAUCGCUGAUGGACCGCGGCACCCCAUUUUCCCCUCUCACCCCUCCGCCUCCGCAGACACGUUGUCUCUCGCUGUCGCUGUCCCACAGUCCCCGAUGAACGCACGCACGCUGUGCAUAGGCGCUCCACCUUCCCUCUCUCUUUCGUUAUUGCUGUGCUUCGGGGGUGCCUUGAGUUUUACGCAU